UACGUGCACAGAGAUCGGCGUACAAUUAUGCAAAGCGUGGCUCAUUUUAAAUGUAGAAACGCCAACUACCAUUUAUGGUAGGUACCACCACCAUCACCGAUACUACCGCCUGGGAAUACGAGUGUGCAGGAUGCUCGAGGUUACACGAGCGCGCGUUGGAAACGGUGGAUGGUGUACGCCGGGAGCGAUACCGCGCUUUUUCAUGAAAAUUCGUCGUCGUCUUCGUUGGCGUGAUCGUGAAAUUAUUCAGUGGACUCUCAUCCGGACGGUAUUCGGUAUUCCCAGUCAGCGAUCUAAGUGCGCCUAAGUUAAGAUCGUUUAAAGAAGUUUGUUAAGUAAGGAACUGAGCGAGACUGUGUAAUCACCGGAAGGCGGUCGUUACCUUCGACGGUUUUGCAUGCGAAUCGUUGCGAAAAUUUUGAUUCUUAUUUUUUUGAAUCACCCGCUAUGGGAGUGCAUAUCUGCGCAACGGCUCAAUCGGCGGAGUACGUUUUUCAGAUUGAUCUUAAUUCCUGAAUCAUCGCGGAUGAAAAUAAAUCUUCGUAUUUAACUCGCUUGAUCCUAUCACGCAAUUUUAAUCGAGGAGGAACGAGGAAUUCUUGGUUGUAUCUAUUAUGGGGCAAUGCACUCACUGUUGUAAGAAUGAUUACUGUAAAAUUUUCUAAAUUUUAAUCAAUUGAAAUUAUUGUUCUAUAUAUUUUAAUUAAUUUAAUUAUUAAAUAGUUUAAUUAAAAAUUGUUGCAUUCUACAUCUUUGAUAAUUCGAGUUGCAAUUUUGAGUGGUAAUGCUAGAGAAAUAAGGAAGGAGGAAGAAGAAACAUUUGCAACAACAUCAAAUGCAUUACAGUUGAUAACCACUCGAGGCUUCUAAAUGAAAAUUGCCAUUGUAAUGGGGAGCAAACAUACGAAGCUAUUUUUCUUAUCGUGUGAUUAUUCCAGAACGCUACUUUACAUUCUUUCGCGUAGCAUCAUAAAAGGCGCGAGAAAGAAAGGGGGACAAGAAGUAGAGAAAACGAAAGCUAGGGAUGUUUCUCAGGUUUUUCUUCCCAUUUUUUCUUCUUUUUUUCUCUCUCUCUUACGGAAAAAGCUGCGAAGGAAGAAACGGGAUACAAGAUUCUUUUAGGAAAGAGGUCGCUAUUAAAAAGGAUCGAAGAUUAAACGCGAAAAAAAGGAAAUGGAAGAACGAAUUAUACGAAAAAAAAUAUAUAUAUUUUAUCUAAUCCUAUAUAAAUGGAGAUUUCCUGCAUUCUAGCAAGAAAUCUUAUAAUUUGUGGUUAUACUUUCUUUAUCACAAGUGUUUUAGAGCAAUAAAUAUUAAUGUGAUUUAAGAAGAAAAAAAAAGAAUUCGAGAACAUUUUCUCGAAUAGACGUGUGUAAAUCGAAGUGUCAAUAUCGGAAACAUAAGAAAACUUGAGAGCUAAAAUAAAAAUUGUGUACAAUAUGCGUGAGUGCAACAAGAUUAAUUUUUACGCAAAUUUUAAUAUUUUAUAUUUUAAUAAUUUUUAUUGACUCACUCUAUAUAUUGUGUUUCCAAAUCCUUUGGUAAAGUUAUAUUCUCCAUCGUUUUUUGCAAGGAGAGGAAACGCCUCGAGCCAAGUGUCAAUGUUCUAAAAUCGAUUUACACCCACUCGAGAAUUUUUACAGGCCCUACGUGAAAAGAUGUAUGACAUGGUAGUCCGUUAUCGAAGAGCAGAUGAUGAAAUAACGAUUCCAAAAUAAUAAAUGUUGUAAGAAAUUUUUACCUUUCGCGUAAAUUUAACCCUUGCUUUACAUUUUCAUAACGAGUGAAUCUUUCUGAUUUCGUGAACGUGUAUAAAAUUGUACAUCACUAUCAUUUAAUAAAAAAUUUUUAAAUAUUAUUUUUCUGAAUCGUGAAUACGGCGGAAAAUAUAUUUUUUGAUUAAAGAUUACUUACAGAUAAAAAUUACUUAUUAUUACUUACAGAAAUUGAAUAUAUUUAGAUCGCACGAUAUGGUUGAAAAUUGUGCUCACCUGAAACAAACGAAGAAAUUAAAUUAAUUUUCAUUCCUUGCGAAUAAAUUUUUUAUUUUCAUUUUUUCCAAUUUCGUGGUGGAAAAGAAACUUAAACACGUACGAGUUUAAUUUCUCAACUGUCAUCGAUAUUAAAAAAUUCUAAACUGAAACGAAAAUACUUUUUCUUAAGUGUCGAAGAUAUUUUUAUUAUAUUACACAUUUUGUUGCUUCAAAUAUAUAGUCUUUUCACUAAUUUUUAAUAUUCUUCUUUUACAUUUCCGUAGAAAUAGAAUAUUUAUUUUCUAUUCCUCUUUAAUUGAAAGUAAUUAAUCGCCACAAUUAAAUAAGCACAAAUUAAAUAUACUAUAUGUCACUUGCACAUGUUAUUAUCUGACCAUAGCCCAGUAUUAUGACGUACAAUUUCCUAAUUCAAUCGAUGUAAUUACAUCAAUCGAUCAAAAUGCAGAGAAAUAAUAUACUUAAAUCAAAUACAUCUAAUUAAAGACCACCACAGCUUAAUCACGUGUGGUCGAGAUUUAAUCAAUAUUUAAAAUCGAAGUUAAUUUAUUAAUUAAUCGAAUAUUCGAAAUAAACGGACAACUCGAAUAAAUUCAAAAUUUUUCCAUUAUACUUUCGAUAUUAUAAAAAAAAAACUCAUACAACUUGCUUAUUCGAUAACUAGAAAAAAAUUCAGCAAAAAGAUAAAAAUUUUUUAAAUUAAAAAAAGAAAUAAAAGAACUCAAAAUUGAUAGAUACGGAUCCUACAAUUUUAACACGAUUCUAAGCAACAACGCGUCGUCGAUCACGCGAGCUUUACACCCACGAUUUCAUCUCUUAUGCCCUCGUUGUAUAUGCUGGCAAAAUGGUUGACACUCUUUCAGGGGAGCACAUAAGACGCGUGAAUGGCGGAAGCUGAUCGACGACCGAAAAGAGUUCACUCUUCUCAACGUAGAAUUUCAUUACCGGGUAAAGUUUCGACAUAAACGGGAAAUUUUUCGCUAACUUUUAUGCACUUUGAAAGUCCGCGGACUGCGACGUGGAAAACGGACAUUGAGGGUCGAAGGUAAAAAACUUCAUCCUUCCCAGGGGAAUUCAGCGAUGCCCCGAGUGAAGACAGUUGUGUAUUAGAAGACAAAGCUAUGGAAGCUAGAGAUUUAGAGCAUAAAGGACAAAAUUGUGGACAGCGAAUCUAGCAAAGUGAGAGCUAAGAAACUUUAGAUCACUCUGCUGUUCAGCAAUACUGCAAAUUUAUGGAUACGGGGAAUGAAAGCAGACUAAAAACUUUUUUAACUUUGGAUUACUGUUAUUCAGCAAUAUUGAGGAGAAAGUUAUGGAUAGCAAAAAUAGCAGAGUGAGAGCUUAGAACUUUAAACUACUGAGAGCAAAGCUAUGGACAGUAGAAUGAACAGAAUGGGGGAACUUUAAGCAAGUGCUAUUCAAGAAAUAUUGAGAAAAAAGUUAUAGAAUUAGAGUAGUGGAAGCUUGGAGAUCAGUGCUAUGGACAAUACUGAGAGAAAACUUAUGGACAACAGAAAGGAGCUUGGAACUUUAGGCCAAUUGUUCAGCCAUAUCGAGAUAAUAGAAUUAAAAGAAUGGAAAUUAGUACAAUUAUCUAUAUCUGAGAGUAAAGCUAAGCAAAUCCAGUACUACUCAUCAGUUGUCUUUGUAUAAGUCCUAUUAGAUUCAUUAUGAAUUUUGCUCCGUUAUAUAAAAAAAUUGUUUAACUAAUAAAAUGAUAAUGUAUUUUA
This is a long non-coding RNA of Apis cerana (Asiatic honeybee), 3721 nucleotides long. RefSeq lists it as uncharacterized. NCBI's taxonomy places the organism in Eukaryota, Metazoa, Arthropoda, Insecta, Hymenoptera, Apidae. The record is from RefSeq and is a predicted model, not a curated record.